AUCCCAUGAUGAGGACAGUCUUCAAUGUAAUUCUGAAAUUUUUCCCAUGCUUCAGUGAAUAAUUCAUCAUUUUGUUGUUGGAAAAUUGCAAUCUUCCCAAGUAGUC
RNAcentral lists this small nucleolar RNA (106 nucleotides) under Sorghum bicolor (sorghum). RNAcentral's name for it is "Plant small nucleolar RNA R71". It matches the Rfam family "Plant small nucleolar RNA R71". From Rfam's summary of the family: R71 is a member of the C/D box family of snoRNAs containing the C (UGAUGA) and D (CUGA) box motifs. Multiple nearly identical copies of this snoRNA have been identified in Arabidopsis, and it is thought to function as a 2'-O-ribose methylation guide for 18S ribosomal RNA. Lineage: Eukaryota; Viridiplantae; Streptophyta; Magnoliopsida; Poales; Poaceae. The record is from Rfam by way of RNAcentral.